AUUGAACGCUGGCGGCAGGCCUAACACAUGCGAGUCGAAUGGUAACAGGAAACAGCUUGCUGUUUCGCUGACGAGUGGCGGACGGGUGAGUAAUGUCUGGGAAACUGUCUGAUGGAGGGGGAUAACUACUGGAAACGGUAGCUAAUACCGCAUAACGUCGCAAGACCAAAGAGGGGGACCUUCGGGCCUCUUGCCAUCAGAUGUGCCCAGAUGGGAUUAGCUAGUAGGUGGGGUAACGGCUCACCUAGGCGACGAUCCCUAGCUGGUCUGAGAGGAUGACCAGCCACACUGGAACUGAGACACGGUCCAGACUCCUACGGGAGGCAGCAGUGGGGAAUAUUGCACAAUGGGCGCAAGCCUGAUGCAGCCAUGCCGCGUGUAUGAAGAAGGCCUUCGGGUUGUAAAGUACUUUCAGCGGGGAGGAAGGGAGUAAAGUUAAUACCUUUGCUCAUUGACGUUACCCGCAGAAGAAGCACCGGCUAACUCCGUG
This 490-nucleotide ribosomal RNA is filed under the name uncultured bacterium. Its description in RNAcentral is "partial 16S ribosomal RNA". It matches the Rfam family "Bacterial small subunit ribosomal RNA", at positions 30 to 507 of the family's 1533-position model. The record is from RNAcentral.